Caerostris darwini is the source of this 111-nucleotide non-coding RNA. The record is from the annotation of a GenBank genome assembly. Lineage: Eukaryota; Metazoa; Arthropoda; Arachnida; Araneae; Araneidae.
AACGGCCGUACCAUGCUGAAUAUACCGGUUCUCGUUAGAUCACCGAAGUUAAGAUCAUUGGGCGCGGUCAGUACUUGGGUGGGUGACCACCUGGGAACACUGCGUGCCGUU